Molecule: ribosomal RNA, 214 nt
Filed under: Natrinema thermotolerans
Lineage: Archaea; Methanobacteriati; Methanobacteriota; Halobacteria; Halobacteriales; Natrialbaceae
Description: Haloterrigena thermotolerans partial 23S ribosomal RNA
Rfam family: Archaeal large subunit ribosomal RNA
Source: RNAcentral
GCCGAACGAGUAAGGGUUCCUCAGCAAUGCUGAUCAGCUGAGGGUUAGCCGGUCCUAAGUCAGCCCGUAAGUCGAAGCUGACAACAGGGAAAUAGGUUAAUAUUCCUAUGCCAGUGUGUACUCAAAGCCAACGCUUUGGGGCCGCCUCUGCCGGGCUUUCGCCCGGUCGAACUGUCGAAGUUCGUGGAAGCCGUAAUGGCACGAAGCGACCGAA